This is a long non-coding RNA of Eurytemora carolleeae, 1423 nucleotides long. RefSeq lists it as uncharacterized. The record is from RefSeq and is a predicted model, not a curated record. The transcript has 2 exons. Lineage: Eukaryota; Metazoa; Arthropoda; Copepoda; Calanoida; Temoridae.
UAUCAAAAAUCAAGACGACAUUCAAGUCCUCUUGCAUACUGUCAUGUUUCGUGGGACACCCUGUAUAUCUAAAUACAUGUUAUUGUAAUCGUAAAUAGCUACUUUAAUUUCGGUCAAAUUUUGGACUGCUGGAGUUUUUGGUGAUUUUUGGGAUUGUUUGUUUUGUAAAGUUUAAAACAAAAAAAAUAUUUUUUAAACAUCAUUUUUUUUGUUUUGGGCUCUUAUUUUCAUGUCAAUAUAUUUUAAUCAGUCUUUUCAUUCAAAUCUUGAAAUUUUCUAUAUUUUACGAUCAGAGAAAAGAACUUCACAAAAAAUUAUUGACUCAACAAAAGAGCACCUUAAUUUUCUGCAUGUGAUAGAGAUAUUGUAAAGAAAUAUUGAUUUGAUCACUUACUUAAAAACUUUUAAAGCUUACAUAUUGUUUUUUUCUGAUUUUCGAAUAUUGAAAGGUUUGAUUUUUAAAAUUUCUAUUGUUUUACAAAAAUAUCCAAUUUUUUAAUAAUAAGCUAAUUAAAAGUUAUCGAGAUGUUUUCAAUUCUGUAAAUGGCAAUUACUUCAGAAUAACAGUACAUAUGUUCACAUACUUAUAAAUAAUUCAUCUUAAUUAUAAUGUUUGUCAAGAGUGAAUAAUGUGUAUUUUUGUUAAGUUUGAAUUAUUUAAAUAUAACCAAUUGUGUAAAACCGCUUAGUAUUGUAAAAUAUGCAUUAUGCAUAGUUCGUAUCUUUAAGGUUGUCCAUGUUUAUAUACACAUUGUUAAAAUUAUUAGUGAUCUUUAUUUAAAAUAUGAAAAUGUUUGAAAUUUACCAAAUUUAUAGACUUCACUCUACUUUUCUAGAAACCAUUUCAGCUUUUUAUUGUUGAUUUUCAAGCCGAUAUUUUAAAUAAGCGUCCUCAUUAAACAAAUAUUUUCGAGGAUUUUUCUGUUUCUAUUCAAGGAUUUUCCAAAAUCAUAAAGGCGACAUUUUUUUUAUGUCCAGUCAUAAACCUUCCCUGGGAUCGUGUGAUUGCCAUAACAAAUUUAUACCCUAUCAAUUUAGCCUUUUUGACUUUUAUUGGACACAAAAAAAAGAUAGCAGUGAAACUAGGUUUUUUAGUUAUAUGGUGUGAAUAUUUAAUAUAACUAAAGAGUUUUUUUUAAAUUCUUCUUGCAAUCUCUUAUUGUGUUUGAAAGUGUACUGAUAUAUCUUGUGUUGUAGAAACGUUGUUAAAUAUAAAUUUAAACCUUAGAAUUGAAUUUUCAGAACAAAAAAAAACAAGAAAUAAAAUGUGCACUGUUAAAAAUCAGGAAUGUUACUAAGCUAUAUUUUAAACUAAUGUAGUGAUGUAUUCGACGCCUAUAUUAUUCAAUUCAUAUAGUACUUGCAGAUAUUUUGUCCACUUCAUGAUGGAUUUCAUCAAAUAAAAAAACGUUUUCGCAUGAAA